Molecule: long non-coding RNA, 171 nt
Organism: Dipodomys spectabilis (banner-tailed kangaroo rat)
Lineage: Eukaryota; Metazoa; Chordata; Mammalia; Rodentia; Heteromyidae
Exons: 3
Source: RefSeq, a predicted model, not a curated record
AGAAGGGAAGUGUCCAUGAUACCUGCGAGUUGGAGUUAGGAGGGCUCCCCUACAUUCAAAGAAAACCUUCCUAUAGAUACAUCGAUGUUUAAAGAAGUAUCACUAGGGUGGUUGAUUGGGUGAGUGCCUAGCAUGUAAGCAUAGAGAGGUUACUUACCUAACUGAUCCUAA